RNAcentral lists this long non-coding RNA (332 nucleotides) under Manihot esculenta (cassava). RNAcentral describes it as "long non-coding RNA (MESC_LNC010995)". The record is from RNAcentral. Lineage: Eukaryota; Viridiplantae; Streptophyta; Magnoliopsida; Malpighiales; Euphorbiaceae.
GACUUUCUCUUACACGUAACAUAACAUAUCCAACUGUGCCAGGGGCGUAGUGCAGGCCACACCUGGUCUUUCUCUUACAUAUUGCCAGGGGCGUAGUGCAAGCCACACCUGGACUUCCUCAUACAUAUUACCAGGGGCAUAGUGCAGGGCACACCUGGACUUUCCAUCUCAUAUCAUAUCAUAUCAUAUCGAGGGCUAGCGGAUCAUCCAAUAUCCAUCCACAUCAACAAUAAAUUAUGCAAUGCAUCAUAUUCGUGAAUUCUAAUACAACAUCCUAAUACAUAAACAUGGUAUCCGUGAUGCAUGAAUAUGCUUAAAAAGUUUGAUUGCUU